RNAcentral lists this long non-coding RNA (741 nucleotides) under Leguminivora glycinivorella. RNAcentral describes it as "uncharacterized LOC125237969". Lineage: Eukaryota; Metazoa; Arthropoda; Insecta; Lepidoptera; Tortricidae. The record is from RNAcentral.
ACGUAAAUACGUUACGUAACCUAGGUUACAUAUAUAUUAAGAAGUUUUAUUGAUUCAUAGCUAACUUACAUUCCAAUAUAAACGUAAUUAAUUCAUAAGAAACACUUACCUGCUUAUACUAGAUACGAAUAAUUAAAAGCGAUACAUUCAAAUCGUAAUAUUUAAGUUAUAAUUGCAUCCUGAUCCUGACCUAUGCAUUGCGCACUUUACCUUGCGCGACAUUCCUUCGUUGUAAAACCGGCCGGUGGCGCUCCCCGCCCCGCGCCUUACUCCACCGCUCCCGCGCGGCUUCACAGCUCGGGGCAGACAGAUUGAGACAUCGGCGCCGGCGCACGUUCGCUUUGCUCAAAGCUCGCGACUAUACAUGUAGCCGGCGUGAUUUUAAAUUUAUUUAAUUCCUAAUACGUCUUAGUGCUCGUUUAGUACCAAGUAACGUUUGUAUUUAGUGUUUAAAUCCCCAAUUGGGGAGCCAUAUUACGGCUGGAACUACAGCCCAGGCCGGGUUACGACGGUUCCGGAACCUCUACACAAGUUCCGGCAGAUCCGGAGCGGAGCGGCUGACGUCCCUCGGCGCGUUCCGUCUUCAGCCCGCAACGACACCAGCAGCUUCAGGGGAGUACUUGCGUGGUGGACCUGACCUCGGAGCAAAAUCAGUAUCGGCCUUACGAACCCACACCUAACGACCUUUGUUCGUGUGCUCACGCGGAGUUACGGCGAGAAUAAACCAGUUCUUUAUUUUAA